This 253-nucleotide ribosomal RNA is filed under the name uncultured bacterium. RNAcentral's name for it is "partial 16S ribosomal RNA". It matches the Rfam family "Bacterial small subunit ribosomal RNA", at positions 524 to 776 of the family's 1533-position model. The record is from RNAcentral.
UACAGAGGGUGCGAGCGUUGUUCGGAAUUAUUGGGCGUAAAGGGCGCGUAGGCGGCGCCACAAGUCACUUGUGAAAACUCUGGGCUCAACUCAGAGCCUGCAAGCGAAACUGUGGUGCUGGAGUAUGGGAGAGGUGCGUGGAAUUCCCGGUGUAGCGGUGAAAUUCGUAGAUAUUCGGAAGAACACCAGUGGCGAAGGCGGCUCACUGGCCCGGUACUGACGCUGAGGUGCGAAAGCGUGGGGAGCAAACAGG